GGCGGACGGGUGAGUAACGCGUGAGCAAUCUGUCCUACACAGGGGGAUAACACUUGGAAACAGGUGCUAAUACCGCAUAAGACCACGAGGUCGCAUGGCCAUGGGGUAAAAGAUUUAUCGGUGUAGGGUGAGCUCGCGUCCCAUUAGCUAGUUGGUGAGGUAACGGCCCCACCAAGGCGACGAUGGGUAGCCGACYUGAGAGGGUGAUCGGCCACAUUGGAACUGAGACACGGUCCGGACUCCUACGGGAGGCAGCAGUGGGGAAUAUUGGGGCAAUGGGGCGCAAGCCUGACCCCAGCAACGCCGCGUGAAGGGAAGAAGGUUUUUCGGAUUGUAAACUUCUGUCCUUGGGGACGAAGAAAGUGACGGUACCCAAGGAGGAAGCCCCGGCUAACUACGUGCCAGCAGCCGCGGUAAUACGUAGGGGGCAAGCGUUGUCCGGAAUGACUGGGCGUAAAGGGCGUGUAGGCGGCUUUUUAAGUGUGAAGUGAAAGUCCUGCUUUCAAGGUGGGAAUUGCUUUGCAAACUGGAGAGCUUGAGUGCGGAAGAGGUAAGUGGAAUUCCCAGUGUAGCGGUGAAAUGCGUAGAGAUUGGGAGGAACACCAGUGGCGAAGGCGACUUACUGGGCCGCAACUGACGCUGAGGCGCGAAAGCGUGGGGAGCGAACAGGAUUAGAUACCCUGGUAGUCCACGCUGUAACCGAUGUUUCUAGGUGU
Molecule: ribosomal RNA, 716 nt
Filed under: uncultured Clostridia bacterium
Lineage: Bacteria; Bacillati; Bacillota; Clostridia
Description: bacterial SSU rRNA
Rfam family: Bacterial small subunit ribosomal RNA
Source: RNAcentral